Long non-coding RNA from Piliocolobus tephrosceles (Ugandan red Colobus), 2398 nucleotides. Lineage: Eukaryota; Metazoa; Chordata; Mammalia; Primates; Cercopithecidae. The record is from Ensembl.
AUGGCAGAAAGAUAUCUUUAUGAUGCUCCUCAUCAUUUACAAAACGCAACGCAGUUAGCUGAUCAUGCGAUGAAUACAACCGGAAUUAAUUCAACGGUUAUACGUUCUGCCAUAAGUAAUGUAAUCGAAUCAAAAAAUAAUUCAGUUGACGAUGUUACUUAUAGUGGGCUUAGUGAUUUAGUGGAAUCUGCUCAAUAUCAACACAUGACAUAUAGGAUAGAGAAAUCUGCAGAAAAUAUAACGUCCACUCUUAUUAGAACACCUGAAAAUGGUGAUGAAGUUUUACUAAUUGUUGUAAUAUUUUUAGUUAUAUUAUUGUUUAGUAUGAUAUUUUUAUAUAUACUUUAUAAACAAAGAAAAAAACUAAAAGAAUUAUUUCGGUAUUGGAAACGUGAUAUAACACGUUCUGUGAAGAGUUGCAUAAAGAAACCUGACCCAGAAAAUAAUUCGGAAAAUGAUACUGAUGUGUCCACACAACAACCAACAGUGACAAUCACAAUUAAAAAUUUAGGAUUUGUAGGGGAUGAGAAAAGCAAAAACAAUGAAAAUAGAGACGAUUUCAAAACAGUUGAAUCAAUGUGUGUGAAUAAUAAUGCGUAUAAUGGAAAAAAAUGUAAUCUUACUACUACUGAUGUGACAACAAUGACAUGUUCGCCUUGUAAUUUAAGUACCGUAACAUAUUCUACUAACGAUAAUGGUAAAAUCGAGUAUGUCACAUUACUUGGUGCUUCUAAAUCUGACCCAAAUAAUGUUGUUGCUAAUCCUAAUGAUGAUGAUAAUAGUGAUGAUGGUAAUAGUAGUGUUGAUGGUGUUGAUAGUGUUGAUGGUGAUGAUGGUGAUGGUAGUGUUGAUGGUGUUGAUGGUGUUGAUGGUGUUGAUAGUGUUGAUGGUGAUGAUGGUGUUGAUAGUGUUGAUGGUGAUGAUGGUGAUGAUGGUGAUGAUGNNNNNNNNNNNNNNNNNNNNNNNNNNNNNNNNNNNNNNNNNNNNNNNNNNNNNNNNNNNNNNNNNNNNNNNNNNNNNNNNNNNNNNNNNNNNNNNNNNNNUGUUGAUGGUGAUGAUGGUGUUGAUGGUGUUAAUGGUGUUGAUGGUGUUGAUGAUGUUAAUAGUGCUGGUGCUGGUGUUAGUGCUGGUGAUGAUGCUGGUGUUAGUGCUGGUGAUGAUGCUGGUGUUAGUGCUGGUGAUGAUGCUGGUGCUAGUGCUGGUGCUGGUGCUGGUGUCGGUGCUGGUGCUGGUGCUGGUGUUAGUGCUGGUGCUGGUGUUAGUGUUAGUGCUGGUGUUAGUGCUGCUGUUGUUAAUGCUGCUAUUGCUUCUGAUAAUGCUAAUGCUGCUGCCAGUGAGGCUGCUUCUGCUGCUUCUGCUGCUAUUGCUGCUGCUACUGCUGCUGCCAAUGAUGUUACUCAACAUGCUGCUGCUUUAUCUGUUGCUAAUUCUGCUGUUGCUACUGCUGCUGUUGCUCUUAACGCUUCUACUAUUGCUGCAGACAUUCUCGUUUCUAAUAUUGUUUUAGCUCAUUUAAAUGCUAGUACUAUUGCUGCUUAUGCUCAGUCUACUACUCAUGCCGCUGAUGCUGCUCAUUCUGCCGUCAUUGCUAUUGAUAAUGCAAUGGCUGCUGUUGCUUCUGGCGAUGCUGUUGCUGCUGCUGAAGCUGCUUCUGUAGCUGCCGCUGCUUCUGCUGUCGCUGCAUCUGCUGCUGCUGAAGCUGCUUUGAGUGUUUCUAAUGUUUUGAAUAAUUUAAUUAAUGAUGCUGCCAAUGAUGCUGUCAAUGCUGCAGAUAAUUCUGAUUCGGAUGCUCCAAAUGCAUCAGAUAUGGUGGUUGGAUUUAUGAUAGAAAAUCAUCUAUUGAAUGGUUUUGGUCACCAUAUGCAAAGUGAUAAUGUCGAAAAUAAUGAAAAUGGUAAUAAUCAUGAAGAAAAUAUCAACGUUAGUGGGAUGUAUGGUUCAGAUGGGACGCUAAGUACUAAUACAAACCCAAAUGAAGACAAUAAUAUGGAUGAUUCUUAAAUAUUUUGUAACAUGAUGUUUCUUGUUCAGUGUAUAGCAGUCGGUGUGAAUGAUUUUAAAAAUGACAUUGAUAAUAUAUGUUAUGAUAAAAAAAUUAAGGUAGUUAUGUCUAUUAUUGGAAUGGUUUAAAAAUUUUUAAUUUAUGUAAAAGUGAACAUUAUUGUAAGCAAUUUAACAUAACAAUAUAUUUGAUAAAUUUAAUAAGUAUUUUACAUUUUUGAAUGUUUCUUUUUUAAAAUAAUAGCAUUUUUACAGUUACAUUAUGCAUGUAUGAUUAUAACUUAAUUAUUUUGUAUAAUUUUGUUUUGCAUAAAUUAAAAAACAAAUAUGAUUGUAGUUAAUUUUACGAUUUAAUAUAACAAAUAAAACAUAAUUUUAUCAAUUUAGCUUUUAGUAU